RNAcentral lists this ribosomal RNA (323 nucleotides) under uncultured Rhogostoma. RNAcentral's name for it is "SSU rRNA". The stretch from base 104 to 323 matches the Rfam family "Eukaryotic small subunit ribosomal RNA", at positions 735 to 955 of the family's 1831-position model. The record is from RNAcentral. Lineage: Eukaryota; Cercozoa; Thecofilosea; Cryomonadida.
GAUUUCUGGUCUGCCAUGCCUGGCCCGCCACGGUUACGUGUGUGAGUGCCGGUGCGUGGCAACCAUCCUUCUGGAGAACGCGUCUACCCUUCACUGGGCCGGAUGCGCGAUUCAGAUCGUUUACUUUGAAAAAAUUAGAGUGUUUAAAGCAGGCUUUUUGCUAUGAAUACAUUAGCAUGGAAUAAUAAUUUAGGACUUCGGUUCUAUUUUGUUGGUUUCUAGAUCUGAAGUAAUGAUUGAUAGGGAUAGUUGGGGGUGCUCGAAUUCAGCGGCCAGAGGUGAAAUUCUUGGAUUCGCUGAAGACGAACUCAUGCGAAAGCAUU